This 1175-nucleotide ribosomal RNA is filed under the name uncultured organism. Its description in RNAcentral is "bacterial SSU rRNA". It matches the Rfam family "Bacterial small subunit ribosomal RNA", at positions 51 to 1272 of the family's 1533-position model. The record is from RNAcentral.
ACACAUGCAAGUCGAACGCAACCUUCGGGUUGAGUGGCAGACGGGUGAGUAACGCGUGAGAAUCUGCCUUGGGGUCGGGGACAACCACUGGAAACGGUGGCUAAUACCGGAUAAGCCUUUGGGUAAAAAAUUAUUGCCCCAAGAGGAGCUCGCGUCUGAUUAGCUAGUUGGUGAGGUAAAAGCUCACCAAUGCAGCGAUCAGUAGCUGGUCUGAGAGGACGAUCAGCCACACUGGGACUGAGACACGGNCCAGACUCCUACGGGAGGCAGCAGUGGGGAAUUUUCCGCAAUGGGCGAAAGCCUGACGGAGCAAGACCGCGUGAGGGAGGAAGGCUCUUGGGUUGUAAACCUCUUUUCUCAGGGAAGAAGCUCUGACGGUACCUGAGGAAUCAGCCUCGGCUAACUCCGUGCCAGCAGCCGCGGUAAUACGGAGGAGGCAAGCGUUAUCCGGAAUUAUUGGGCGUAAAGCGUCCGCAGGUGGCGAUUCAAGUCUGCUGUCAAAGCACGGGGCUUAACUCCGUUAAGGCAGUGGAAACUGAAUAGCUAGAGUGCCGUACGGGUAGAGGGAAUUCCCGGUGUAGCGGUGAAAUGCGUAGAGAUCGGGAAGAACAUCGGUGGCGAAAGCGCUCUACUGGACGGCAACUGACACUCAGGGACGAAAGCUAGGGGAGCGAAUGGGAUUAGAUACCCCAGUAGUCCUAGCUGUAAACGAUGGAUACUAGGUGUAGCUUGUAUCGACCCGAGCUGUGCCGAAGCUAACGCGUUAAGUAUCCCGCCUGGGGAGUACGCACGCAAGUGGUGAAACUCAAAGGAAUUGACGGGGGCCCGCACAAGCGGUGGAGUAUGUGGUUUAAUUCGAUGCAACGCGAAGAACCUUACCAGGGCUUGACAUGUCCGGAAUCCCGGUGAAAGCUGGGAGUGCCUUCGGGAGCCGGAACACAGGUGGUGCAUGGCUGUCGUCAGCUCGUGUCGUGAGAUGUUGGGUUAAGUCCCGCAACGAGCGCAACCCUCGUCUUUAGUUGCCAGCAUUAAGUUGGGCACUCUAGAGAGACUGCCGGUGACAAACCGGAGGAAGGUGGGGAUGACGUCAAGUCAGCAUGCCCCUUACGCUCUGGGCGACACACGUACUACAAUGGUCGGGACAGAGGGCAGCGAACCUGCGAAGGCAAGCUAAU